Molecule: ribosomal RNA, 497 nt
Filed under: uncultured bacterium
Lineage: Bacteria
Description: partial 16S ribosomal RNA
Rfam family: Bacterial small subunit ribosomal RNA
Source: RNAcentral
GAUGAACGCUGGCGGCGUGCCUAAUACAUGCAAGUCGAGCGAACAGAUAAGGAGCUUGCUCCUUUGACGUUAGCGGCGGACGGGUGAGUAACACGUGGGUAACCUACCUAUAAGACUGGGAUAACUUCGGGAAACCGGAGCUAAUACCGGAUAACAUUUGGAACCGCAUGGUUCUAAAGUGAAAGAUGGUUUUGCUAUCACUUAUAGAUGGACCCGCGCCGUAUUAGCUAGUUGGUAAGGUAACGGCUUACCAAGGCAACGAUACGUAGCCGACCUGAGAGGGUGAUCGGCCACACUGGAACUGAGACACGGUCCAGACUCCUACGGGAGGCAGCAGUAGGGAAUCUUCCGCAAUGGGCGAAAGCCUGACGGAGCAACGCCGCGUGAGUGAUGAAGGGUUUCGGCUCGUAAAACUCUGUUAUUAGGGAAGAACGAACGUGUAAGUAACUGUGCACGUCUUGACGGUACCUAAUCAGAAAGCCACGGCUAACUACGUG